GGCCUCAUCGUCUAGUGGCUAGGACGUCGCCCUCUCACGGCGGAAACAGGGGUUCAAUUCCCCUUGAGGCUACCA
This 75-nucleotide transfer RNA is filed under the name bacterium. Its description in RNAcentral is "tRNA-Glu". It matches the Rfam family "tRNA". From Rfam's summary of the family: Transfer RNA (tRNA) molecules are approximately 80 nucleotides in length. Their secondary structure includes four short double-helical elements and three loops (D, anti-codon, and T loops). The record is from RNAcentral.